Molecule: ribosomal RNA, 484 nt
Filed under: uncultured bacterium
Lineage: Bacteria
Description: partial 16S ribosomal RNA
Rfam family: Bacterial small subunit ribosomal RNA
Source: RNAcentral
AUUGAACGCUGGCGGCAGGCCUAACACAUGCAAGUCGAGCGGAUGAAGGGAGCUUGCUCCUGGAUUCAGCGGCGGACGGGUGAGUAAUGCCUAGGAAUCUGCCUGGUAGUGGGGGAUAACGUCCGGAAACGGGCGCUAAUACCGCAUACGUCCUGAGGGAGAAAGUGGGGGUUCUUCGGACCUAACGCUAUCUGAUGAGACUAGGUCGGAUUAGCUAGUUGGUGGGGUAAAGGCCUACCAAGGCGACGAUCCGUAACUGGUCUGAGAGGAUGAUCAGUCACACUGGAUCUGAGACACGGUCCAGACUCCUACGGGGGGCAGCAGUGGGGAAUAUUGGACAAUGGGCGAAAGCCUGAUCCAGCCAUGCCGCGUGUGUGAAGAAGGUCUUCGGAUUGUAAAGCACUUUAAGUUGGGAGGAAGGGCAGUAAGUUAAUACCUUGCUGUUUUGACGGUACCAACAGAAUAAGCACCGGCUAACUUCGUG